This 215-nucleotide long non-coding RNA is filed under the name Prunus persica (peach). RNAcentral's name for it is "long non-coding RNA (PPER_LNC005914)". The record is from RNAcentral. Lineage: Eukaryota; Viridiplantae; Streptophyta; Magnoliopsida; Rosales; Rosaceae.
UUCCAGACAAAUCACUUUCAGGAUACAACAAAUAUUGGAAUUAUAGAGUUUAGCAAAAACUGAAAUUUCCUUAGAAUUUCUACAAGGAAAUUGUAUGAUAUAUUGAGAAGAAGAGUUAGGGAGAGAUUGAUUUAUGUUGUGUUUAGAAGUCCCACGUUGUGGGAUUUUUAUACAUUGAGUGUCAAAAGUACCCAUUUGAUUCUGGUGAAGAGGUG